GUAAUACGGGGGAUGCAAGCGUUAUCCGGAAUUAUUGGGCGUAAAGCGUCCCGAGGUGGCUUACCUAGUCGACUGUGAAAGCUCAAGGCUUAACCUUGAAACUGCAGUCGAAACUUGUAAGCUUGAGUACGGUAGAGGCAGAGGGAAUUCCCGGAGGAGAGGUGAAAUUCGUAGAUAUCGGGAGGAAGGCCAAAGGCGAAAGCACUCUGCUGGGCCGAUUACUGACACUAACAGACGAAAGCUAGGGGAGCGAAAGGG
Molecule: ribosomal RNA, 258 nt
Filed under: uncultured archaeon
Lineage: Archaea
Description: partial 16S ribosomal RNA
Rfam family: Bacterial small subunit ribosomal RNA
Source: RNAcentral